GACGAACGCUGGCGGCGUGCUUAACACAUGCAAGUCGAACGGAAAGGCCCUGCUUUUGUGGGGUGCUCGAGUGGCGAACGGGUGAGUAACACGUGAGUAACCUGCCCUUGACUUUGGGAUAACUUCAGGAAACUGGGGCUAAUACCGGAUAGGAGCUCCUGCUGCAUGGUGGGGGUUGGAAAGUUUCGGCGGUUGGGGAUGGACUCGCGGCUUAUCAGCUUGUUGGUGGGGUAGUGGCUUACCAAGGCUUUGACGGGUAGCCGGCCUGAGAGGGUGACCGGCCACAUUGGGACUGAGGGACGGCCCAGACUCCUACGGGAGGCAGCAGUGGGGAGUAUUGCACAAUGGGCGGAAGCCUGAUGCAGCAACGCCGCGUGCGGGAUGACGGCCUUCGGGUUGUAAACCGCUUUCGCCUGUGACGAAGCGUGAGUGACGGUAAUGGGUAAAGAAGCACCGGCUAACUACGUG
RNAcentral lists this ribosomal RNA (468 nucleotides) under uncultured bacterium. RNAcentral describes it as "partial 16S ribosomal RNA". It matches the Rfam family "Bacterial small subunit ribosomal RNA", at positions 28 to 507 of the family's 1533-position model. The record is from RNAcentral.